UACGAGGGGUGCAAGCAUUAUUCGGAAUUAUUGGGCGUAAAGGGUGCGUAGGCGGCAUAUUAAGUCAACUGUUAAAUUCCUCGGCCUAACCGAGGCCAUGCGGUAGAUACUGGUAUGCUAGAGGGUGGAAGAGAGAAGUGGAAUUCUCGGAGUAGCGGUAAAAUGCGUAGAUCUCGAGAGGAACACCAAUGGCGAAGGCAGCUUCUUGGUCCAUACCUGACGCUGAGGCACGAAAGCGUGGGGAGCAAACAGG
This 253-nucleotide ribosomal RNA is filed under the name uncultured bacterium. RNAcentral's name for it is "partial 16S ribosomal RNA". It matches the Rfam family "Bacterial small subunit ribosomal RNA", at positions 524 to 776 of the family's 1533-position model. The record is from RNAcentral.